CUUGGAUCAUUUUAUCACUUAACUUUUUAUGAGUGUGUAGCUCUUCUUAACCAGCCAUUAAGUUCAUUCAGAAAUCACGAAUUUUAGAACUGUCUUAUGUUCCCUCUAAUAUCCAGCCCAUUGUUGUCUCUACAGGACCUUCAUCACUGAACACUUGUGAAAUAAGGGUAGGUCUGUGCUCAUGCUGUUGGACACUGGCAGCAGGGCCGAUCCCUCUGCAUUCACAGCCCUCCCACUCACUGCCUUUGGCCAGCCUACCCUCAUUGCCGUGUCCCGCUUGCCCCCGCUUGAUGAAAACAGCUUUCAGGAUCUGCCUCGAAGUGAGUGAGACCACUUUGUUAACAACGUCACCGCCUUUAGAUUUGCAAUCCUCUACCUGACUUUUGCAAGGCCAAUAAACCAAACAGUUGAUAAUACUUGGAAGUGGAUGACUCAAUCUUAAUGCUCCCACGAUUGCUGCUACUACUCUUACCAAACUCCAUGACAGUCAGCCCCUCCUACCUUCCAGAGUGAAAUCCUUUAGGAAUAACAGCGUUUUGAGCGCUUGCAAGCCACAGGGACUGUCGCUAUGGGUGAGCCACCUCCCCUCGAGGGAGCUGGGA
Canis lupus familiaris (dog) is the source of this 602-nucleotide long non-coding RNA. RefSeq lists it as uncharacterized. NCBI's taxonomy places the organism in Eukaryota, Metazoa, Chordata, Mammalia, Carnivora, Canidae. The record is from RefSeq and is a predicted model, not a curated record. The transcript has 3 exons.